UACGUAGGGUGCGAGCGUUGUCCGGAAUUAUUGGGCGUAAAGAGCUUGUAGGCGGUUUGUCGCGUCUGCCGUGAAAUUUCGAGGCUCAACCUCGAACUUGCGGUGGGUACGGGCAGACUAGAGUGUGGUAGGGGAGACUGGAAUUCCUGGUGUAGCGGUGAAAUGCGCAGAUAUCAGGAAGAACACCCGUGGCUAAGGCGGCUCUCUAGUACGGUACUGACGCUGAGACGCGAAAGCGUGGGGAGCGAACAGG
Molecule: ribosomal RNA, 253 nt
Filed under: uncultured bacterium
Lineage: Bacteria
Description: partial 16S ribosomal RNA
Rfam family: Bacterial small subunit ribosomal RNA
Source: RNAcentral